AGCGAACGCUGGCGGCAGGCCUAACACAUGCAAGUCGAACGAACUCUUCGGAGUUAGUGGCGGACGGGUGAGUAACACGUGGGAACGUGCCCUUUGGUUCGGAAUAACUCAGGGAAACUUGUGCUAAUACCGAAUGUGCCCUUCGGGGGAAAGAUUUAUCGCCAUUAGAGCGGCCCGCGUCUGAUUAGCUAGUUGGUGAGGUAACGGCUCACUAAGGCGUCGAUCAGUAGCUGGUCUGUGAGGAUGACCAGCCACACUGGGACUGAGACACGGCCCAGACUCCUACGGGAGGGAGCAGUGGGGAAUCGUGCGCAAUGGGCGAAGGCCUGACGCAGCCAUGCCGCGUGAAUGAUGAAGGUCUUAGGAUUGUAAAAUGCUUUCACCGGGGACGAUAAUGACGGUACCCGGUGAAGAAGCCCCGGCUAACUUCGUG
This 433-nucleotide ribosomal RNA is filed under the name uncultured bacterium. RNAcentral's name for it is "partial 16S ribosomal RNA". It matches the Rfam family "Bacterial small subunit ribosomal RNA", at positions 29 to 507 of the family's 1533-position model. The record is from RNAcentral.